This 457-nucleotide ribosomal RNA is filed under the name Bradyrhizobium japonicum. Its description in RNAcentral is "bacterial SSU rRNA". It matches the Rfam family "Bacterial small subunit ribosomal RNA", at positions 1 to 499 of the family's 1533-position model. Lineage: Bacteria; Pseudomonadati; Pseudomonadota; Alphaproteobacteria; Hyphomicrobiales; Nitrobacteraceae. The record is from RNAcentral.
CGUUUGGAGAGUUUGAUCCUGGCUCAGAGCGAACGCUGGCGGCAGGCUUACCACAUGCAAGUCGAGCGGGCGUACCAAUACGUCAGCGGCAGACGGGUGAGUAACGCGUGGGAACGUACCUUUUGGUUCGGAACAACACAGGGAAACUUGUGCUAUAACCGGAUAAGCCCUUACGGGGAAAGAUUUAUCGCCGAAAGAUCGGCCCGCGUCUGUUUAGCUAGUUGGUACGGUAACGGCCUACCAAGGCGACGAUCAGUAGCUGGUCUGAGAGGAUGCUCAGCCACAUUGGGACUGAGACACGGCCCAAACUCCUACGGGAGGCAGCAGUGGGGAAUAUUGGACAAUGGGGGCAACCCUGAUCCAGCCAUGCCGCGUGAGUGCUGCAGGCCCUGGGGUUGUAAAGCUCUUUUGUGCGGGAAGAUAAUGACGGUACCGCUGGAGGAGAAUCCCCCAGUUA